CAGCCGCCGCGGGAAUACGGAGGGUGCAAGCGUUAAUCGGAAUUACUGGGCGUAAAGCGCACGCAGGCGGUCUGACAAGUCAGAUGUGAAAUCCCCGGGCUUAACCUGGGAACUGCAUUUGUGACUGUAUAGCUAGAGUACGGCAGAGGGGGAUGGAAUUCCGCGUGUAGCAGUGAAAUGCGUAGAUAUGCGGAGGAACACCGAUGGCGAAGGCAAUCCCCUGGGCCUGUACUGACGCUCAUGCACGAAAGCGUGGGGAGCAAACAGGAUUAGAUACCCCCGUAGUCCCUGUCUCUUAUAC
This 301-nucleotide ribosomal RNA is filed under the name uncultured bacterium. RNAcentral's name for it is "partial 16S ribosomal RNA". It matches the Rfam family "Bacterial small subunit ribosomal RNA", at positions 509 to 807 of the family's 1533-position model. The record is from RNAcentral.